Molecule: long non-coding RNA, 218 nt
Filed under: Solanum tuberosum (potato)
Lineage: Eukaryota; Viridiplantae; Streptophyta; Magnoliopsida; Solanales; Solanaceae
Description: long non-coding RNA (STUB_LNC000503)
Source: RNAcentral
GGUUGACAGCUCUCUCAGAUUCGGCUUAGUAUUUUCUUUAGCAGAUUGAGCUUCGAGACAUACUCGAGAGGUAGCGGUUCAUUCCAGACGUGCCCUUGAGUUAUCUUUACUUUCAGUUUUGUUCUAUUUGAGAACUAUACUCUGAGACUUGUAUAUUUUUAUUCGAAUUCUGUAUUUAGAGGUUUGUACAUGUGACAACCAAAUUCUGGGUAGUGUUG